This 497-nucleotide ribosomal RNA is filed under the name uncultured bacterium. Its description in RNAcentral is "partial 16S ribosomal RNA". It matches the Rfam family "Bacterial small subunit ribosomal RNA", at positions 28 to 507 of the family's 1533-position model. The record is from RNAcentral.
GACGAACGCUGGCGGCGUGCCUAAUACAUGCAAGUAGAACGCUGAAGAGAGGAGCCUGCUCUUCUUGGAUGAGUUGCGAACGGGUGAGUAACGCGUAGGUAACCUGCCUUGUAGCGGGGGAUAACUAUUGGAAACGAUAGCUAAUACCGCAUAACAAUGGAUGACACAUGUCAUUUAUUUGAAAGGGGCAAUUGCUCCACUACAAGAUGGACCUGCGUUGUAUUAGCUAGUAGGUGAGGUAAUGGCUCACCUAGGCGACGAUACAUAGCCGACCUGAGAGGGUGAUCGGCCACACUGGGACUGAGACACGGCCCAGACUCCUACGGGAGGCAGCAGUAGGGAAUCUUCGGCAAUGGGGGCAACCCUGACCGAGCAACGCCGCGUGAGUGAAGAAGGUUUUCGGAUCGUAAAGCUCUGUUGUAAGUCAAGAACGGGUGUGAGAGUGGAAAGUUCACACUGUGACGGUAGCUUACCAGAAAGGGACGGCUAACUACGUG